Long non-coding RNA from Maniola jurtina (meadow brown), 91 nucleotides. RefSeq lists it as uncharacterized. The transcript has 3 exons. The record is from RefSeq and is a predicted model, not a curated record. Lineage: Eukaryota; Metazoa; Arthropoda; Insecta; Lepidoptera; Nymphalidae.
AAGCGGAAAUGUAUAGGUGUAACCAAAAUCGUCCAGCGAAAUGCGAAUGGAGCUGAGUAAAUGUAGUUAAUCCCUAAUUAUAAUUUAAUUG